RNAcentral lists this small RNA (435 nucleotides) under Pongo abelii (Sumatran orangutan). RNAcentral's name for it is "processed transcript". Lineage: Eukaryota; Metazoa; Chordata; Mammalia; Primates; Hominidae. The record is from RNAcentral.
GAUUAAGGAUACCUUCAGGUCUUUUGUAUUUUAGUAAAAUUCCAUCCAGUAUUUUUAGAUUUAGAACCUGCACAAUUAAUUAUGUUUUCUAACAUCUUUAUUUUAGUACACAUGUGACUCAGAAGUAAUUAUAGAAAACAAUAUUCUUAUCAUUGCUGCUUGUUUAUUUUGGAGGAUUUGUCAUUCAUUGUCCUUCAUACUUGUGUAGAUGUGAGGGAGCAGUUUCCUUUAUAUUAGUAUAUUACAUUUUUGGUUAUCUUUUAGGUCCUAUCAGCAGUAUCCUGGUGAAUAAAUAUGGAAGUCGUAUAGUCAUGAUUAUUGGUGGCUGCUUGUCAGGCUGUGGCUUGAUUGCAGCUUCUUUCUGCAACACCGUACAGCAACUAUACUUCUGUAUUGGAGUCAUUGGAGGUCUUGGGCUUGCCUUCAACUUGAAUC